AGUGAACGCUGGCGGUAGGCCUAACACAUGCAAGUCGAACGGCAGCACAGUAAGAGCUUGCUCUUACGGGUGGCGAGUGGCGGACGGGUGAGGAAUACAUCGGAAUCUACUUUUUCAUGGGGGAUAACGUAGGGAAACUUACGCUAAUACCGCAUACGACCUACGGGUGAAAGCAGGGGAUCUUCGGACCUUGCGCGAUUGAAUGAGCCGAUGUCGGAUUAGCUAGUUGGCGGGGUAAAGGCCCACCAAGGCGACGAUCCGUAGCUGGUCUGAGAGGAUGAUCAGACACACUUGAACUGAGACACGGUCCAGACUCCUAAGGGAGGCAGCAGUGGGGAAUAUUGGACAAUGGGCGCAAGCCUGAUCCAGCCAUACCGCGUGGGUGAAGAAGGCCUUCGGGUUGUAAAGCCCUUUUGUUGGGAAAGAAAAGCAGCAGGUUAAUACCCCGCUGUUCUGACGGUACCCAAAGAAUAAGCACCGGCUAACUUCGUG
RNAcentral lists this ribosomal RNA (492 nucleotides) under uncultured bacterium. Its description in RNAcentral is "partial 16S ribosomal RNA". It matches the Rfam family "Bacterial small subunit ribosomal RNA", at positions 29 to 507 of the family's 1533-position model. The record is from RNAcentral.